CGGGAAAGGGGCUGGGCUGCGCCUCCGGCCUGGGGGCGGGGGUGCGGCCGCGGGGAAGGAAGUCGGCCGAGGGGCGGGGGACAAAAGGCCGGGCGGCGGGCUGGGGGUCUCAGGGAGGGGGCGGGCGUGUGCGGCUGGGGCCGGGCUACGCGGAGGACAAACAGCUGGCGAGUGUCAGGGUCUGGCCGCCUCCCCGCUGCCCACACGCACCUACCCGCGCCCGGGACGCGCAUUUUCCUUCUCUCGCCACGAGUUCACCUGGGACUUUGCAAAUAACUGUGCGGUGGGAGCUGCGCUCCAGCCUUGUCAUUUGCUGAGGGUGGGUGGCGGUGCCCAAGGAAGUGAACUUAUUUUGUUCCUUCACAAAGACUGGACCAGGCGGUGCCUUUCACGCGAAGAGGUUACGACCACGGACACAACCUCCUUUGAUGCAUUGUGCGACGCAGCACCUCGGGCCCCGGGCAGUAAUCAUUUCACAGAAAAUGCACCGCCCCGAGUGUCUUAUUGCUGUGAUGAAAUGGAAAUUUAAAUAAAAGGUCGAACACGUGCGUUCACUGGGAAGUAUUGACAUGGGUGUUACAUCACCAGCAGCCAAUCAGAUAACUCCAGUCGUGUUUAUACUUCUACAACCACCUUAUUACAUGUAAUUUUAAUGUAAAG
This 660-nucleotide long non-coding RNA is filed under the name Pan troglodytes (chimpanzee). Its description in RNAcentral is "long non-coding RNA NONPTRT017117". The record is from RNAcentral. Lineage: Eukaryota; Metazoa; Chordata; Mammalia; Primates; Hominidae.